This 258-nucleotide unclassified non-coding RNA is filed under the name air metagenome. RNAcentral describes it as "partial contains small subunit ribosomal RNA, internal transcribed spacer 1, and 5.8S ribosomal RNA". The stretch from base 1 to 46 matches the Rfam family "Eukaryotic small subunit ribosomal RNA", at positions 1786 to 1831 of the family's 1831-position model. The record is from RNAcentral.
AAGUCGUAACAAGGUUUCCGUAGGUGAACCUGCGGAAGGAUCAUUAACGAAUUAAUGGAAGUUGAUGCUGGCGUUCAUUCGCAUGUGCUCGCUUUCCUAAUCCUUCAACACCUGUGCACUCUAAUUUUGAAGAAGGCGAGGCUCCGAAAGGUAGCCUCCCUCCUUUGAACUUUAUACACAAACUCUUUGUCUUAACGAAUGUUUAUCUGCCGCAAGGCAAAAUUAAUACAACUUUUAACAACGGAUCUCUUGGCUCUC